UGAUCCUGGCUCAGAUUGAACGCUGGCGGCAGGCCUAACACAUGCAAGUCGAACGGUAGCAUAUCUUGCUUGCAAGAUGAUGACGAGUGGCGGACGGGUGAGUAAUACUUAGGAACAUGCCUUUGAGUGGGGGAUAACUAUUGGAAACGAUAGCUAAUACCGCAUAACGUCUACGGACCAAAGGGGGCUUCGGCUCUCGCUCAGAGAGUGGCCUAAGCGAGAUUAGCUAGUUGGUGAGGUAAAGGCUCACCAAGGCGACGAUCUCUAGCUGUUCUGAGAGGAAGAUCAGCCACACUGGGACUGAGACACGGCCCAGACUCCUACGGGAGGCAGCAGUGGGGAAUAUUGCACAAUGGGGGGAACCCUGAUGCAGCCAUGCCGCGUGUGUGAAGAAGGCCUUCGGGUUGUAAAGCACUUUCAGUUGUGAGGAAAGGUUAGUAGUUAAUACCUGCUAGCUGUGACGUUAGCAACAGAAGAAGCACCGGCUAACUCCGUGCCAGCAGCCGCGGUAAUACGGAGGGUGCGAGCGUUAAUCGGAAUUACUGGGCGUAAAGCGCACGCAGGUGGUUUGUUAAGCUAGAUGUGAAAGCCCAGGGCUCAACCUUGGAAUAGCAUUUAGAACUGGCAGGCUAGAGUCUUGGAGAGGGGAGUGGAAUUCCAGGUGUAGCGGUGAAAUGCGUAGAGAUCUGGAGGAACAUCAGUGGCGAAGGCGACUCCCUGGCCAAAGACUGACACUCAUGUGCGAAAGUGUGGGUAGCGAACAGGAUUAGAUACCCUGGUAGU
RNAcentral lists this ribosomal RNA (783 nucleotides) under uncultured marine bacterium. RNAcentral's name for it is "bacterial SSU rRNA". It matches the Rfam family "Bacterial small subunit ribosomal RNA", at positions 14 to 794 of the family's 1533-position model. The record is from RNAcentral.